RNAcentral lists this ribosomal RNA (465 nucleotides) under uncultured bacterium. RNAcentral's name for it is "partial 16S ribosomal RNA". It matches the Rfam family "Bacterial small subunit ribosomal RNA", at positions 28 to 507 of the family's 1533-position model. The record is from RNAcentral.
GACGAACGCUGGCGGCGUGCUUAACACAUGCAAGUCGAACGGUGAACUCCGCUUGCGGGGGGAUCAGUGGCGAACGGGUGAGUAACACGUGGGCAACCUGCCCUCAGCUCUGGGAUAACUCCAAGAAAUUGGGGCUAAUACCGGAUAUGACCGCUGACCGCAUGGUCUGGUGGUGGAAAGAUUUAUCGGCUGGGGAUGGGCCCGCGGCCUAUCAGCUUGUUGGUGGGGUAGUGGCCUACCAAGGCGACGACGGGUAGCCGGCCUGAGAGGGUGACCGGCCACACUGGGACUGAGACACGGCCCAGACUCCUACGGGAGGCAGCAGUGGGGAAUAUCGCGCAAUGGGCGAAAGCCUGACGCAGCGACGCCGCGUGGGGGAUGACGGCCUUCGGGUUGUAAACCUCUUUCAGCAGGGACGAAGCGAAAGUGACGGUACCUGCAGAAGAAGCACCGGCCAACUACGUG